This 302-nucleotide unclassified non-coding RNA is filed under the name Kurtzmanomyces sp. RNAcentral describes it as "partial contains 5.8S ribosomal RNA, internal transcribed spacer 2, and large subunit ribosomal RNA". Lineage: Eukaryota; Fungi; Basidiomycota; Agaricostilbomycetes; Agaricostilbales; Chionosphaeraceae. The record is from RNAcentral.
CGCACCUUGCGCUCUCGGGUCAUUCCUGGGAGCAUGUUCGUUUGAGUGUCGCGUGCCUCUCAACCCCCUUCGCUUUACAGGAAGUGUCAGGGUUGGAUCUUGACAGAUUGCCUCAAUGCCCGAGGCUCUGUUGAAAUACAACAAGCUGUACCUUUUCGCACUGGCGGCUUGACCUGUUGUCAUAAGUUCCUUGCAACCUUUCAACGGGGACGCCAAGUCUGGAUGAGCUUACCACAAAACGAAGCGCAAGCUUCCCUCUCUACAUUGACCUCAAAUCGAGCAGGACUACCCCCUGAACUUAA